RNAcentral lists this ribosomal RNA (482 nucleotides) under Hylophorbus sp. 'Cyclops' 2. RNAcentral describes it as "partial large subunit ribosomal RNA". The record is from RNAcentral. Lineage: Eukaryota; Metazoa; Chordata; Amphibia; Anura; Microhylidae.
GCUGGUUAUUCAGGAAAAGGAUYUAAGUCCAAUUUUAAUUCUUUACAUAACAUUAAAUAUAUUUACAGAUUUAAAAUUCAUUCAAAUAAGGUACAGCCUAUUUGAAACAGGAUACAACCUCUCACAGAGGGUAAUGCUUACAUAAACGUGACUAAGUGGGCCUAAAGGCAGCCACCUUUUAAAAAGCGUUAAAGCCUUAUCACAUCAAACUAUAAAUACCUACCUAAGCCCAAAACCCCUUAACCCUACUGAAUGACUUCAUACCUUUAUGAAAAUCCUUAUGUUAGAACCCGUAACAAGAAUAACCAUUCUCCUACAAAUGUAAGUGUAAGCCGAAAUGGAACUCCCAUCGACACUCAUCGCCAAUGAACCAACAGUAAUAACCCCCCCCAAGAAAACCUUACUUUUUUCCCAGCGUUAACCUUACACAAGAACUUUUCUGGAAAGAUUAAAAAAAGAGGAAGGAACUCGGCAAACAUUAA